RNAcentral lists this ribosomal RNA (393 nucleotides) under uncultured bacterium. Its description in RNAcentral is "partial 16S ribosomal RNA". It matches the Rfam family "Bacterial small subunit ribosomal RNA", at positions 523 to 918 of the family's 1533-position model. The record is from RNAcentral.
AUACGGAAGGUCCGGGCGUUAUCCGGAUUUAUUGGGUUUAAAGGGAGCGCAGGCGGAGAUGCAAGCGUGACGUCAAAUUUCGGGGCUCAACCCCGUCUCGCGUCGCGAACUGCGUCCCUUGGUUGCGGGAAGGGGAGGCGGAACUCGGGGUGUAGCGGUGAAAUGCAUAGAUAUCACGAAGAACUCCGAUCGCGAAGGCAGCCUUCCGGCCCGUCAACGACGCUCAUGCUCGAAGGUGCGGGUAUCAAACAGGAUUAGAUACCCUGGUAGUCCGCACAGUAAACGAUGGACACCCGCGGUUUGGCCUAUAUGGCUGAGCCGCCAAGCGAAAGCGUUAAGUGUCCCACCUGGGGAGUACGCCGGCAACGGUGAAACUUAAAGGAAUUGACGGGG